GUUGGAGAAGCCUCCUUUCCACUUCCCCGGAAACUGGUGACAUUUCAGGGCUUGCCGCUCGCUGGAGGCCCCCCCCCCCCCCACCAAGGAUCUUCUCAGAUACCUUCUCAGAGGACGCGCCACAGAACUGGGGAUCACCCCGACCAGAGCAAGACUCCCUGCCCCCACGGAGCGCCCAGCCUCUGGGCUGCCUUUCUCGGGGAGCCCGCGAGCCCGGGGCUUCCCGGACCCGGAGCGCCGUGCCCAGCUCCUCCGGCGACACGCACCGGCGAAGUUCCCACCUGAGCAGGCAGCCGGAGAUCGCGGGAGAGCCCAAUCACGGGGCGAGCUGGACCGGGCUGUGAUCAUUUAUAAUCCUGGACUCCUCCGCUCCGCCACUUGUCAAGAUGACAGGCCGCGUCGGGUACGGGAAAGCUCCGAGGCUCCCAUGCUGUGACCAAUCAGUGCCUCUACUACUCUUGCCGUGAUUUAGGGGUCAUCCAUGAAUAACACUUCACGCUGAUGAAUGGCUCUUGCAGGCUUUCGGCUCUGAUGAGGGGUCUGCCCGCCGCUGAUUGCAAACACUAAUGAACUCCCAGCGCCGUUUGAAAUUCACACGCACCUACAAAGUGCGGGGGGUGGGCAUUUCAGGUCAGCUGAGUCACCCGAGGAGGUAGGAGUGCAAGACACUGCCGGGAAGAUGGAUUCCGAGGCAGAAGGGUGUAAUUAAGGAUUUCCACUCCCGGUAGGCGGCCCGUCCUUUACAAGAGGAUCUGAAAAUGACCUGCGCCUUCCCCUCCAGAGUGUCCUCUCGUCCCAGACUGAAAAGCGCAAAUGACCUUCGCACGCGGGAAGGGGUUAUACACGAGCCCCAACUCGGCACCGGCGGCGGAGAACAAGUGUCCGCCCUGUGGCUCAAGCACCAAGACCGCCCCAACAAGCGCGCGCUGGCCGGUGGGGACGGAUUCUGGAGUCCUCCCAAGGCUCCACGCCCCGCAUUCUCCGACGCCGCCCCCCUCCCCAGUUCUCCCCUGCUUCCACUCUGUGUGAUGUGGGAGGAAAAUAAAAGUUUACUGCUCUCCAGGA
Long non-coding RNA from Leopardus geoffroyi (Geoffroy's cat), 1065 nucleotides. RefSeq lists it as uncharacterized. The transcript is spliced from 4 exons. The record is from RefSeq and is a predicted model, not a curated record. NCBI's taxonomy places the organism in Eukaryota, Metazoa, Chordata, Mammalia, Carnivora, Felidae.